CCUACGGGAGGCAGCAGUGAGGAAUAUUGGUCAAUGGGCGGAAGCCUGAACCAGCCAAGUAGCGUGCAGGAUGACUGCCCUACGGGUUGUAAACUGCUUUUAUACGGGAAUAACGCGCCUUACGUGUAGGGCUUUGCAUGUACCGUAUGAAUAAGGACCGGCUAAUUCCGUGCCAGCAGCCGCGGUAAUACGGAAGGUCCGGGCGUUAUCCGGAUUUAUUGGGUUUAAAGGGAGCGUAGGCGGGAUGUCAAGCGUGCUGUGAAAGGUCCGGGCUCAACCCGGGCAUUGCAGUGGGAACUGGCGGGCUUGAGUCCGCGGAAAGCAGGCGGAAUUCGUGGUGUAGCGGUGAAAUGCUUAGAUAUGACGAAGAACCCCGAUUGCGAAGGCAGCUUGCUGAAGUGGAACUGACGCUGAUGCUCGAAAGUGCGGGUAUCGAACAGGAUUAGAUACCCUAGUAGUC
RNAcentral lists this ribosomal RNA (460 nucleotides) under uncultured bacterium. RNAcentral's name for it is "partial 16S ribosomal RNA". It matches the Rfam family "Bacterial small subunit ribosomal RNA", at positions 338 to 795 of the family's 1533-position model. The record is from RNAcentral.